RNAcentral lists this ribosomal RNA (433 nucleotides) under uncultured bacterium. RNAcentral describes it as "partial 16S ribosomal RNA". It matches the Rfam family "Bacterial small subunit ribosomal RNA", at positions 29 to 507 of the family's 1533-position model. The record is from RNAcentral.
AACGAACGCUGGCGGCAUGCCUAACACAUGCAAGUCGAACGAGACCUUCGGGUCUAGUGGCGCACGGGUGCGUAACGCGUGGGAAUCUGCCCUUGGGUUCGGAAUAACAGUUGGAAACGACUGCUAAUACCGGAUGAUGACGUAAGUCCAAAGAUUUAUCGCCCAAGGAUGAGCCCGCGUAGGAUUAGCUAGUUGGUGAGGUAAAGGCUCACCAAGGUGACGAUCCUUAGCUGGUCUGAGAGGAUGAUCAGCCACACUGGGACUGAGACACGGCCCAGACUCCUACGGGAGGCAGCAGUGGGGAAUAUUGGACAAUGGGCGAAAGCCUGAUCCAGCAAUGCCGCGUGAGUGAUGAAGGCCUUAGGGUUGUAAAGCUCUUUUACCCGGGAUGAUAAUGACAGUACCGGGAGAAUAAGCUCCGGCUAACUCCGUG